RNAcentral lists this small nuclear RNA (289 nucleotides) under Jaculus jaculus (lesser Egyptian jerboa). Its description in RNAcentral is "7SK RNA (ENSJJAG00000000753.1)". The stretch from base 1 to 237 matches the Rfam family "7SK RNA". From Rfam's summary of the family: 7SK was discovered as an abundant small nuclear RNA in the mid-70s but a possible function has only recently been suggested. Two independent studies have found that 7SK RNA binds the CDK9/cyclin T complex (known as elongation factor P-TEFb). P-TEFb activates transcription by phosphorylating the C-terminal domain of RNA polymerase II. The record is from RNAcentral. Lineage: Eukaryota; Metazoa; Chordata; Mammalia; Rodentia; Dipodidae.
GGGCAAUUAGGCUGUGGCGCGCACACCCCAUGGAUCACCAGGAUAGAUUUAGCCAAUCUGGCUAGGCAGCUAUGCCCCUCCCCCAUGUGGCUUCCCCAAAGCUGCAUGCUCAAAGAGGAUGACCAGCAGAGGAGGCCUGGUCUUCUGUCAAGGGUAUAUGAGGAGCUGUGCUUCCCUGCUAGAACCUACAGACAAGCCUCCAGCUUGUUCUGGAAAGCCUGAGAGUUUCCACUGGUGAGGGGGUGUUGCAUUUUCAAGUUGGACAUCAUAUGUUGACAAGUCCUGGCUC